ACGCUGGCGGCACGCCUAACACAUGCAAGUCGAACGAAGUAGCAAUACUUAGUGGCAGACGGGUGAGUAACAUGUAGGUAUCUGCCCUUUGGCCUGGAAUAACACGAGGAAACUUGUGCUAAUACCGGAUAAGUCUUUACAGAGAAAGCUUUAUGCACCAUUGGAUGAGCCUGCACUUGAUUAGUUUGUUGGUGGGGUAAUGGCCUACCAAGACUGUGAUCAAUAGCUGAUUUGAGAGGAUGAUCAGCCACAUUGGGACUGAGACACGGCCCAAACUCCUACGGGAGGCAGCAGUGGGGAAUCUUGCACAAUGGAGGAAACUCUGAUGCAGCGAUGCCGCGUGAGUGAAGAAGGCCUUUGGGUUGUAAAGCUCUUUCGUCGGGGAAGAAAAUGACUGUACCCGAAUAAGAAGGUCCGGCUAACUUCGUGCCAGCAGCCGCGGUAAUACGAAGGGACCUAGCGUAGUUCGGAAUUACUGGGCUUAAAGAGUUCGUAGGUGGUUGAAAAAGUUAGUGGUGAAAUCCCAGAGCUUAACUCUGGAACUGCCAUUAAAACUUUUUAGCUAGAGUAUGAUAGAGGAAAGCAGAAUUUCUAGUGUAGAGGUGAAAUUCGUAGAUAUUAGAAAGAAUACCAAUUGCGAAGGCAGCUUUCUGGAUCAUUACUGACACUGAGGAACGAAAGCAUGGGUAGCGAAGAGGAUUAGAUACCCUCGUAGUCCAUGCCGUAAACGAUGUGUGUUAGACGUUGGAAAUUUAUUUUCAGUGUCGCAGCGAAAGCGAUAAACACACCGCCUGGGGAGUACGACCGCAAGGUUAAGACUCAAAUGAAUUGACGGGGACCCGCACAAGUAGUGGAGCAUGUAGUUUAAUUCGAAGAUACGCGCAGAACUUUACCAACACUUGACAUGUUCGUCGCGACUCUAAGAGAUUAGAGUUUUCGGUUCGGCCGGACGAAACACAGGUGCUGCAUGGCUGUCGUCAGCUCGUGUCGUGAGAUGUUGGGUUAAGUCCCGCAACGAGCGCAACCCUCACUUUUAGUUGCCAUCAUUAAGUUGGGCACUCUGAAAGAACUGCCAGUGAUAAGCUGGAGGAAGGUGGGGAUGACGUCAAGUCCUCAUGGCCCUUACGUGUUGGGCUACACACGUGCUACAAUGGUAUCUACAACAGGAAGCAAGACUGCGAAGUUAAGCAAAUCCCUAAAAGAUACCUCAGUUCGGAUUGCACUCUGCAACUCGAGUGCAUGAAGCUGGAAUUACUAGUAAUCGUGGAUCAGCGUGCCACGGUGAAUGCGUUCCCGGGUCUUGUACACACCGCC
RNAcentral lists this ribosomal RNA (1314 nucleotides) under uncultured Alphaproteobacteria bacterium. RNAcentral's name for it is "uncultured alpha proteobacterium 16S ribosomal RNA". It matches the Rfam family "Bacterial small subunit ribosomal RNA", at positions 33 to 1394 of the family's 1533-position model. The record is from RNAcentral. Lineage: Bacteria; Pseudomonadati; Pseudomonadota; Alphaproteobacteria.